UGGCGGACGGGUGAGUAAUGUCUGGGAAACUGCCUGAUGGAGGGGGAUAACUACUGGAAACGGUAGCUAAUACCGCAUAACGUCGCAAGACCAAAGAGGGGGACCUUCGGGCCUCUUGCCAUCGGAUGUGCCCAGAUGGGAUUAGCUAGUAGGUGGGGUAACGGCUCACCUAGGCGACGAUCCCUAGCUGGUCUGAGAGGAUGACCAGCCACACUGGAACUGAGACACGGUCCAGACUCCUACGGGAGGCAGCAGUGGGGAAUAUUGCACAAUGGGCGCAAGCCUGAUGCAGCCAUGCCGCGUGUAUGAAGAAGGCCUUCGGGUUGUAAAGUACUUUCAGCGGGGAGGAAGGGAGUAAAGUUAAUACCUUUGCUCAUUGACGUUACCCGCAGAAGAAGCACCGGCUAACUCCGUGCCAGCAGCCGCGGUAAUACGGAGGGUGCAAGCGUUAAUCGGAAUUACUGGGCGUAAAGCGCACGCAGGCGGUUUGUUAAGUCAGAUGUGAAAUCCCCGGGCUCAACCCUGGGAACUGCAUCUGAUACUGGCAAGCUUGAGUCUCGUAGAGGGGGGUAGAAAUUCCAGGUGUAGCGGUGAAAUGCGUAGAGAUUCUGGAGGAAUACCGGUGGCGAAGGCAGGCCUCCUGGACGAAGACUGACGCUCAGGUGCGAAAGCUGUGGGGACGCAAACAGGAUUAGAUACCCUGGUAGUCCACGCCGUAAACGAUGUCGACUUGGAGGUUGUGCCCUUGAGGCGUGGCUUCCGGA
Molecule: ribosomal RNA, 764 nt
Filed under: bacterium SAL_18
Lineage: Bacteria
Description: bacterial SSU rRNA
Rfam family: Bacterial small subunit ribosomal RNA
Source: RNAcentral